This 29-nucleotide non-coding RNA is filed under the name Prorocentrum micans. Lineage: Eukaryota; Dinophyceae; Prorocentrales; Prorocentraceae. The record is from RNAcentral. RNAcentral also lists the same sequence under 2 other names.
UUUUUUUUUUUUUUUUUUUUUUUUUUUCU